Molecule: long non-coding RNA, 1715 nt
Filed under: Vigna radiata
Lineage: Eukaryota; Viridiplantae; Streptophyta; Magnoliopsida; Fabales; Fabaceae
Description: long non-coding RNA (VRAD_LNC003181)
Source: RNAcentral
UUCUAUAAAUACCCCACCAUCAUUUGCUUUCGGAUCCCAGCAUCUCCUCAAACAUCCCUCUUGUUUCUUGGUCUUGAUUCGUGAUUCAGAAAGAAGGUUCUGCCAAAUCAAGAGGGGUAUUCUGAUCAUAGUGUGUGUGUGCAACAAUGGCUAUGGCUAAGUUCCUUGCAGCUAUGAUCUUGGCACUCAUUGCCAUUUCCAUGCUUCAAACCGUGGUUGGUCUUUAACAAUGUCUAAGAACCAGACACAUUUAAUGUUUUUCAUGUUUUGGUACCACUAGCGUACUAGUGUUGAGAGAUUGAAGGCUUCUUACACUUUUAAUGGCUUUAUUUUUCAGGUUAUGGCUGCAAAUGGGCAUGGAGACCACCUGAAUGAUAACAAGGUAUGCUGCAUCUCUUUCUCUCUGGUUUUGUGAAGAAUGAAAAAUGGGGUCUAGGGAUUUUGCUUUCUAAGGGGUGAAUCAGUGCUGAUUUAUGCUGUUUGUUUCUGCAGAGCAAAUAUGGAAGUGGGAGUCUCAAGAGUUACCGUAAGUAAACUUCAUUUCUUCAACUUGUCUUUUUAUGGCAUCAAGCAAUGUAUAUAUGUCAACAGAUUUCUCCAACUCCAAACUUUGCAUAUAAAAAAUGGUGGCGACACUGAGAAUGGAAGAAGGAAAAUUUUUAAGAACAUUCCCAAAAAGCUCUCAGUGCAGAUCUUGGAUUGUUAUUUUCCUAUUAUUUUUUUCAUUUAAGCCAAAUUAUGCUCACAUGAUUCUCUACCUCUCUUUUCAAUGCUCUUAACUAACCAAACCGACAUAUAAUAUUAUUUGUACUUUUUUUAUAAAUUAAAAAAAAAAAAAGUUCUACAAUUUUAUUAUUGUUACAUCUCUCUUCACUGUCAAUUUUAGUUUGACUGUGGUCAAUUUUUUUCCAAUAAAAGCUGCAUUUUUUUAGUGUUUUGACUGAUGUGUGAAAAGAGAGGAGUCAAAGAGCUAUUGAUUACUGGAUUGACCAUACCGGUUGCCUCUUUUGUUUCUUACCAAUGCUCAAUAUGUCUCUUUUGGGAAUAUGAAAUGACCAGAAUGCCCAUCACAAUGCUCGAGGAGAUGCAACAAGACCCAAUACCACAAGCCCUGCAUGUUUUUCUGUCAGAAGUGCUGCAGGAAGUGCCUGUGUGUUCCUCCGGGUUAUUAUGGUAAUAAGGCUGUGUGCCCUUGCUACAACAACUGGAAGACCAAGGAGGGAGGACCCAAGUGCCCUUGAGCUUCAACCUCAUCAACAUCAAAUGUUGCUUUCUUAUAUAUUUAUCACUUCCUUCAUUGUUCCAUUUAAGGCACUAGCUUACUUCCCUACUAUUCACAUGUCCUAACUAAAUGAUAUAGCCCCUUGUGGUGGCACUAUGAUGUAUGUUUUCUUAUGAAUUUUGGGAUGUCCUCCCUCUAAGGACCACAUCCGUAGUAUCACUCCUUAGGACUUGCUUUCCUUUCAUGUGAGUGGCUUACUUAUAUCAAUACAUCAUCUGUGGAACUUAUUUCUAGUUUAAUGUCUUAUAAUUUUGGAAUCAAUGGGGGCUUCGGUGAUGCAUUGAAUCAUUGAAUAGAUAAUUGGGUUACUUCAUUCUUAUUACAAAGAGCAAUCUUUUUUCCCUGUCAGAGUAGUGUAGUUUCUUCUUUACAAGGUCCCUAUUUAUUACCAGAUAGGUGUGCAUGUGAUAAGGCAAAAGUGAUGCUCUUGCUC